RNAcentral lists this long non-coding RNA (1289 nucleotides) under Coturnix japonica (Japanese quail). RNAcentral describes it as "lncRNA (ENSCJPG00005017177.1)". The record is from RNAcentral. Lineage: Eukaryota; Metazoa; Chordata; Aves; Galliformes; Phasianidae.
UUAGGGUAACACUUGUAUAUUUUUAAUUUUUAGAAUGGAAUAUUAUAACAAAUAUAUUUGUAAAACUUGGAGUUUUCUGCUCAUAUGAAUUCUACUUAUACUUUUUUUUUUUUUUUUUUUUUUUUUUUUUUACAGGUACACGUUAGUUGACAAAUGUAAACUAUCAGGUGCUUAUUGACGAACUGAAAGGUAAACUUGGUUAAUUUGAAACAUCUGAAAACAGUUCUACAUCAGUUGCUUGGCGUUUAAUGAAGAAUAUUAAUAAGAUAUUGCGUGUACUUCGCAAUGUUUAUAUACACAGAUUUAUUUCACCACAUGUCAUGCAGUAAUUCAGAUUCCUGACACAGAUGAUAUUCAGAUGAUAUUGAAAAUAAAGAAAUACUGAAAGGAAUAACAAUUCUGAUGUUCAGCCUGUCUUGAAAAUGGCACAGACUGUUUCUCCCAGGCAUCUGCUGGACAAGGACAUAAAUCCUGAAGUGUAAUUUUAAAUGCUGAGUUAGUUGGAAUUAGAGGAAAAUCUGGAUUUGUGUAUCAUUACGGUACAGUGCAGUUAUUUAAAUCUAAUUGCUCUCAGUUAUGCUUCCAGGAACAAAUACAUACAUCUGCACAUUCUGCAGAGGCUUACCUCUAGUUGCUACAUCAUCAUACUGAGCAUGAACUUCAGAAGCCUGUCUUAAAAGAGGGUUGAGUCCAUUUAAACAUGUUAGAGAUGAGACAUCUGGUAAGUGGGUGGGAUGCUCUGAUUUUCCAUUUCCAAAUGGGUGGAUCACAGGGUGUCCAUCCUGCGUAUAGCGGUGGAAGGGAUGGAAAUUAAGUCCAAAAUGAGCUUCAUGGGGCCAUUCCAUAAUACUAACAAACUGAUGUCACAAGGCAAAUAUUAUAGCAAGAUGUGUCUUGGCUUGGUUAUUUCCAUUCUCGCUUGUUCUCGCUUGUUUAUUCACAAAACAUUGAUUUUCUUGAAAGUUGUUCUCUUUCUUUUUCUUUUUUUUCCAGCUACUAUUGUUAAUAUCAGCAUUAAUUACCAUCCAGUACAGUACAGUAUUUUGUUUUGCUCAGAAUUAUGGCUAAGCAGAAGAAAAAUGAGACAUUUUUCUCCUCUGGAUUAUGAGAAUUUUCCCACUGGCAUCCCAAGACCCGUCCUGUAUGCAUGUCUCUGAUUCCACGCUCAGAGUUUAAGCCACAGCCAUUGCUCACACCAGCUGAGCAGGAGCUGAGUCCAUCCACCAUCUCAGCAGGACUGGUUGGGUAAAGAACAUGGAAUAUAAAAUAAAUGAAAGUGACACACAUCA